Molecule: long non-coding RNA, 444 nt
Filed under: Nicotiana benthamiana
Lineage: Eukaryota; Viridiplantae; Streptophyta; Magnoliopsida; Solanales; Solanaceae
Description: long non-coding RNA (NBEN_LNC003927)
Source: RNAcentral
CACCCUUACCUUUAUUAACUCCAAAUGACUUCCCUAAUCCCUCAAGCCCAUCGAAACCCGUCGUCUCUCAAGCUCUCUGAAACCCUAGCCUCCUUCUACCCCUCUUCAACCACCACUCCACCGGAAUUCAUGACUUCUCAGGUUAUGGAUGACUGAUACUCACUCCCCUCCAUCAAUAAACCAUGGUUGUUCGAAGCUUCGAGACCUGACCUCCAUGGUUCUCCUUCAGAUCUUUCUCAGAUCUAUAGAUCUAUGGCUUCUACAGCCACUACUCCGGCAUAUUCAAGCACUAUGAGCCUUUUCGACUCAGGACCUGACUUUCCUCAAGACUUUUCUCAUUUUUAGUGGGUUCUUUGAAACCUUAAGCUGUCCGGGGUUCUUUACUUUCUUUUUUCUUAGAUAUGGAAAAUGUUUGUGUUUUAUUGAACUUUUUAAAGGUUUUCC